CAGAUAGGAGGGGGUAAUAGGAUUCCUAAUUCUAGCUAUGUAAGAGCUGGAAUUACUUAAAGAACCAUAGGUUCUCAUUUCUGGAGAAAAAAAGGUGAAAUGACUAUUUUAUCCUGUUCAGAGACAGUCAAGAAAGAAAUUUUAGAAGGAAGAAAGUAGCAUUGAUGACCCUAAGAAUAUUAACCUAGGUUGAAGGAAGAUCGGAUCAGGUGAUAGAAGAUGAAAGACAGUUUACAAAGGAGGAGUCAUCCCUUGUGAGUGUGUGAGCCCUUUGUGUCCUCCAUCUUGGACUGUGCCGCCUCCCUGCCCCUUUGUGCUUCCCUGAUUAAUCCUUUCUCUUUUUUUGGCCUUUGGCCUUGAUUUCAUUGGAAGCUUUUUUAUUUUUUGUUUUGUAUUUCUUUGGAUUAUUUUUGCUGUUGCUGAAAUUGCCAGGCAGCUGGCUUGUGCCAGUAUGCCUGACUGGGAUUAUUUUUUUUCUUUCCUCCCUGAUUUCUUUAUGGAUUCCUCACCCCCCCUUUUUUUGGUCCCCACUUCCAUAUUUUGACUGUUUUUGCUGGCUUGCCUGCUAUUGCCUGUUGAACUCAAAGAAGAAAAGAGAAAACAUCAAGUGGAAGAUUUUAAGGCUUCUAAAGAAGACUUUUGGAGUGCCAGAAAACACCAGUGGAAAAACUUGAAAUGAAAGAACCCCAAAGAGUUAUUUUGUGUAAAUGAAAGGACCAGUACACACACAAAAACAGGGGGGCACCAGAAGAGCCCCCAAAGAGACCAAAACCAGGACUCAAGGUGGCAAGAGAAGCCAAAUGGAAAGAAGAAGCUUGGAUGGCAUUGUUUUAAAUAGCCAUUUUAAGCGGGGGGGUUUUAAAGACCACAUCACAGAAGUGGCAGGAUAGGACAAGAAGAAAGAAAGAAAUUGUAUUUGUUUUCUUGCUUCUUAUUUACCACCACUCAAUAUAAGUAUUUGAAGGAAGCUCACAUAAUAAAAUGUAAAACAAAC
This is a non-coding RNA of Pogona vitticeps (central bearded dragon), 994 nucleotides long. Lineage: Eukaryota; Metazoa; Chordata; Lepidosauria; Squamata; Agamidae. The record is from RefSeq and is a predicted model, not a curated record.